This 24-nucleotide non-coding RNA is filed under the name Arabidopsis thaliana (thale cress). The record is from RNAcentral. Lineage: Eukaryota; Viridiplantae; Streptophyta; Magnoliopsida; Brassicales; Brassicaceae.
ACCGAUUCCUGGAAUGCCAGGAUU